UCUGAGCUGACGUCAUAGGGUAUGGAACAUCCCUUUGGUCAGUUUGGGUCAGCUGGCCUACUUGUGUCCCCUCCCAGGAUCUUGCCCUCAACUGAGGAAGGAAUGUUACAGUGCUGAUGCUGUGCUCAGUAGUAGCCAAAACACCAGUGUGUUGUCAACACCCUUCUAGCUACCAAUGCAAAGCACAGCACUGUGAGGGCUGCUAUGGGGAAAUGAAGUCCAGCUCAGCCAGACCCAGUACAGUUCCCUCACUAAAAAUGCAUAAUGCUUCCACAUGAGAAUGCAAGACAAGUCCCAAGGAAACAGCGCUUCAGGACUGGAUCUGUUUCAUCUGAGUGAGAAACUUCCAGCCUUUCUAUAGGAAAGGAAAACAUUGCAGAGAAACAUCUCUCUGCAAAUGCCUAUUACAAACCCCCAUAGUUUCAACACAGCCUGCGUUGAACCAGCCUGCCAAGAACCCCACAAGACAGUUUUGCUUUGUCAUGUGGAUAAGGUUCAAAGUAAGGAAGCAAGAAAGGUGACUCCUGAGUGAGUUAGGAGGCACGUGGAUCUGAACUGCUGCAACAACCAGUAAAGAUUUUCACAGCAUGGAUGAGGAUUCAAGACUGCUGUUUUUAUUUUCUUCCCCUCUCUGCCCUCCCAUAGUAUCCUUAAGUUUCAAAACACCCAUCCCCUCAGUAGGAAUACUGGUAGUUCUUCCGAAUUCUAAAUUCAGUGCAGACUGUAAAAAAAAAAAAAA
Pseudopipra pipra is the source of this 739-nucleotide long non-coding RNA. RefSeq lists it as uncharacterized. NCBI's taxonomy places the organism in Eukaryota, Metazoa, Chordata, Aves, Passeriformes, Pipridae. The transcript has 3 exons. The record is from RefSeq and is a predicted model, not a curated record.